GGUAUUUAACAACAUGAAUGUGUGAGAGUUGUUAUAUGUUGCAAUGGCUGGUAAAACAGUGAUACCAUCAACACAGGCCAAGGGCUUCAGGUUAACACUGCACACGUGUGGUUUGUUGUGAUGACGUAAGUGGGCGGUGACGGGGCGCCGGGACCACACAGUUGGGAUAGUGUCAGCUGAGCCGGUGUAAACAAACCCACGUUUGGAACCUCUGUGGACAUACCUGGGUCUGCCAACUCGUAACAGCCCGAGGCCAAACCAGCGAAGCGAGGCUCGGCCAACGUGUCGUUUGCGGAUCUGUGGCAGAUCGGCCAGCCGCCCAACACCACCAAGUCCUAGAAGCAUCUGAGCUAAUUAACAACUGCAGAGUGUAAAUAAUAUAUUUUAUUUAAUCAACUAGGGUAGGCGAUGUGUUGUAGUACUAUUGUCUGGAAUAAAGAACAGCAUUUCCUCUCGCAGGAAAAUGUACUUUGAGAAAACCA
This is a long non-coding RNA of Gymnodraco acuticeps, 482 nucleotides long. RefSeq lists it as uncharacterized. The record is from RefSeq and is a predicted model, not a curated record. NCBI's taxonomy places the organism in Eukaryota, Metazoa, Chordata, Actinopteri, Perciformes, Bathydraconidae. The transcript has 2 exons.